AUCACCGAAGUCAAGCAUCAUUGGGCGCAGUCAGUACUUGGGUGGGUGACCACCUGGGAACACCGCGUGCCGUUUU
This 76-nucleotide ribosomal RNA is filed under the name Caerostris darwini. The record is from RNAcentral. Lineage: Eukaryota; Metazoa; Arthropoda; Arachnida; Araneae; Araneidae.